Molecule: ribosomal RNA, 440 nt
Filed under: uncultured bacterium
Lineage: Bacteria
Description: bacterial SSU rRNA
Rfam family: Bacterial small subunit ribosomal RNA
Source: RNAcentral
AACGAACGCUGGCGGCAGGCCUAACACAUGCAAGUCGAACGAACCUUCGGGUUAGUGGCGCACGGGUGCGUAACACGUGGGAAUAUACAUUUCGGUAAGGAAUAACACAGAGAAAUUUGUGCUAAUACCUUAUAAUGACUCCGGUCCAAAGAUUUAUCGCCGAAGGAUUAGCCCGCGCUAGAUUAGUUUGUUGGUGAGGUAAGAGCUCACCAAGACUACGAUCUAUAGCUGGUCUUAGAGGAUGACUCAGCCACACUGGAACUGAGACACGGUCCAGACUCCUACGGGAGGCAGCAGUGAGAAUAUGGACAAGUGGGGCAACCUGAUCCAGCCAUGCCGCGUGAAUGAAGAAGGCCUUAGGGUUAGUAAAAUUCUUCAGAUGCGAAGAUAAUGACGGUACCAUCAGAAGAAGCUCCGGACUAAAUUCGUGCCAGCAGCCG